RNAcentral lists this ribosomal RNA (440 nucleotides) under uncultured bacterium. RNAcentral describes it as "partial 16S ribosomal RNA". It matches the Rfam family "Bacterial small subunit ribosomal RNA", at positions 338 to 795 of the family's 1533-position model. The record is from RNAcentral.
CCUACGGGUGGCAGCAGUGGGGGAUAUUGCACAAUGUGGGAAACCCUGAUGCAGCGACGCCGCGUGGGUGAAGAAGCGCCUCGGCGCGUAAAGCCCUGUCAGCAGGGAAGAAAAUGACGGUACCUGAAGAAGAAGCCCCGGCUAACUACGUGCCAACAACCGCGGUAAUACGUAGGGGGCAAGCGUUAGCCGGCUUUACUGGGUGUAAAGGGGGCGCAGACGGCGAUGCAAGCCAGGAGUGAAAGCCCGGGGCCCAACCCCGGGACUGCUCUUGGAACUGCGUGGCUAGAGUGCAGGAGGGGCAGGCGGAAUUCCUGGUGUAGCGGUGAAAUGCGUAGAUAUCAGGAGGAACACCGGUGGCGAAGGCGGCCUGCUGGACUGCAACUGACGUUGAGGCCCGAAAGCGUGGGGAGCAAACAGGAUUAGAUACCCCAGUAGUC